Molecule: non-coding RNA, 792 nt
Filed under: Indonemoura auriformis
Lineage: Eukaryota; Metazoa; Arthropoda; Insecta; Plecoptera; Nemouridae
Source: RNAcentral
UAAAAGUUUUAUUCUUACUUGAAAAUUUACUUAAAUUUUGUUUUACAUGUAGGUCGUUGCGUGAAAUUGAGUAAAUCUUAAAGAUUAAUUCAUUAAUUUAAUUCGCAGUAUUUAGUAUUAUUAAUUAAAGAAAUUUAGAAUUAGCAAUAUUUUUCAGUCCCGGCAAAAGUCGUGCCAGCCGCCGCGGUUAUACGGAGGGGGCAAGUAAUUCUUAUUAGUUUAUAGUUAUAUGUGAAGUUUAUAAGAUUAAUAAUAAAUUUAUUAGGUGAAAUUUUAAAUUUAAAUAGUUUUGUUAAAAUUGUGUAGAAGCUGAGAAAUUUAAAUUUUAGACUAGGAUUAGAUACCCUAUUAUUUUAAAUGUAAAUUAAUUAAGCUUGAGUAGUACUAGUUAUGUUCUUGAAACUCAAAGAAUUUGGCGGUAUUUUAGUCUUUUCAGAGGAACCUGUCCCGUAAUCGAUAUUCCACGUUGAACCUUACUUAUUUUUGUUGUCAGCUUGUAUACCGCCGUCGUCAGAAUGUCCUAAGAGGGUUAAAAUUUUCUUAAAUUUUUAUUAGAAAUGAUGUCAGGUCAAGGUGUAGCUUACGAAUAAGUGGAGAUGGGUUACAAUAAAUUUAUUUAUACGGAUAAAGCUUUGAAAUUAAGCUUUUGAAGGUGGAUUUGAUGGUAAUUAAUUAAAUUAAGUUAAUUUGAUUUUAGCUCUAAGAUAUGCACACAUCGCCCGUCGCUCUCGUUAAUUAAGGCGAGAUAAGUCGUAACAUAGUAGGCGUACCGGAAGGUGCGCCUGGAAAGUC